AGGGGUAUAGUUCAGCUGGUAGAGCGACAGUCUCCAAAACUGUAAGUCGUGGGUUCAAAUCCUACUGCCCCUGCCA
This 76-nucleotide transfer RNA is filed under the name Clostridia bacterium. RNAcentral's name for it is "tRNA-Trp". It matches the Rfam family "tRNA". Rfam says of the family: Transfer RNA (tRNA) molecules are approximately 80 nucleotides in length. Their secondary structure includes four short double-helical elements and three loops (D, anti-codon, and T loops). Lineage: Bacteria; Bacillati; Bacillota; Clostridia. RNAcentral also lists the same sequence under 1 other name. The record is from RNAcentral.